Triticum aestivum (bread wheat) is the source of this 684-nucleotide long non-coding RNA. RefSeq lists it as uncharacterized. The record is from RefSeq and is a predicted model, not a curated record. The transcript is spliced from 2 exons. NCBI's taxonomy places the organism in Eukaryota, Viridiplantae, Streptophyta, Magnoliopsida, Poales, Poaceae.
CCCGAGCCCACUACGACGGCCGAGGCCCAGCCCAGCCCAGCCCAGAGCACCUACCAAGACCGACCGGUUUUCCCCUUCCCUGCUCCUCCAUUCCAACCCUUCUCCUCCUGCCCUGCCCUGCCCUGCCGCCGUCGUCGUCGCCGUCAGCCGUCGCCGCCGCAUCUCCCCCAGCCGCAGCCCUCACGCUCCGAUUCGUCCGUCCGACGGUCAGCAGCAGCACAACCGUAGUCGUCGUCGAUGGCAGGGUUCGGCAGCCUGGCGCCCAAGACGAAGAACGUGGUGGUGGCGGGCGGGCUGACGGGGUUCGUCUUCGGGGUGUACUACUACACCAUGUGGGCGGUGGGCAGCACCGACGAGCUGCAGGUCACCAUCGACAAGUUUGAGGACCUGAAGAAGAAGGAGGAGGCCGCCUCCGCAAGCUCCUCCACCCCAGGAUCAUCAUAAACAAGCACGCCCUUAACUUUGAAACUAGCUACUGCCUGCCUCUCCCAGGACCAUGGGUUCGGUUUGUAUUUGAUAAUAAUGGGUGCUGUUAGUUAGAUGGAGCAUUUUCAUUCAUGGCAUGGAUGGAGCUUGGAGUUGAUGAUGCUUUUUGUUUGUGUGAAUCGUAGCUGCGGUGUCUGGAAAUUAUGAUAUGAUAUUGCCUCCGCUUCAAAAUAUAAGGCGUAUUGUUUUUGCCCCUCA